This 497-nucleotide ribosomal RNA is filed under the name uncultured bacterium. RNAcentral describes it as "partial 16S ribosomal RNA". It matches the Rfam family "Bacterial small subunit ribosomal RNA", at positions 28 to 507 of the family's 1533-position model. The record is from RNAcentral.
GAUGAACGCUGGCGGCGUGCCUAACACAUGCAAGUCGAGCGAACAGAUGAGGAGCUUGCUCCUCUGACGUUAGCGGCGGACGGGUGAGUAACACGUGGAUAACCUACCUAUAAGACUGGGAUAACUUCGGGAAACCGGAGCUAAUACCGGAUAAUAUAUUGAACCGCAUGGUUCAAUAGUGAAAGACGGUUUUGCUGUCACUUAUAGAUGGAUCCGCGCCGCAUUAGCUAGUUGGUAAGGUAACGGCUUACCAAGGCAACGAUGCGUAGCCGACCUGAGAGGGUGAUCGGCCACACUGGAACUGAGACACGGUCCAGACUCCUACGGGAGGCAGCAGUAGGGAAUCUUCCGCAAUGGGCGAAAGCGUGACGGAGCAACGCCGCGUGAGUGAUGAAGGUCUUCGGAUCGUAAAACUCUGUUAUUAGGGAAGAACAAAUGUGUAAGUAACUAUGCACGUCUUGACGGUACCUAAUCAGAAAGCCACGGCUAACUACGUG